GGAAGCAAUUGCUUGCCCAUUUCCUGUUUGUGUCUUUCUUAAUCUUUUUUUUUUGAAACUGUGUCUUUCUUAACCGGUUAUUAAUCAGAUGACACAAAGUCAAAAAGGAUAAACCAUCACCUAUAUCCACCCGCCCAACCCACUGUUGACAGUCUGACACAGAGGGCACACCUAAUCCCUUGGCCUUUGUACUGCGGCCAAGAGAUAGCAAGGAGUAGCAAUAGCCAAUAGAUGCAGCGAGACGGGGACAUGUGCCGUGCCCCCACCUGAUGAUCUGCAGGACUGCACGAUACGAGCAUGGCUGCCUUGACGCGUCCGUCUGUCUACCUCUCUCUCCCAGCUGGGACUUGCGAUCAGAUGACAUUGACAGCAGCCGAGUACUAACUCGCAUUGCAUUGCAUAUGCAUUCAUUCAUGGUCGCGCGCGUCGCCCACGUUUGCAUUUAUACAUGAUGAUGACUGUCUGCCUGGCGCCAGCAUCAGCAAUACAAAACUUCCAUGAUCCAUCCAUCCAUGAUCCAUCCAUUCAUGGCGGACUAACAGUACUUGUCGCACGCACGCCGGCUGCCAUGCGCCAGCUGAGCUUGCUCAUUCCAUUCCGUGCCCGGCCGACACCGACAGUAUUUGCCGCUGUAGCUUUUCCUCCAGGAAGUAAACGUGUCGACGAUGCAGCAGUUGUUCAAGUAAGUGUUCAGAAUGGCGAUGGAACUGAAGAAAGCUGCAUCGAUCAGAUCACCGACACCAAGCAACAAGCUGCCUCUUCCUUGGCUCUUGGUGGGUCCCCAUCUUCAAAGAAGAAGCAUCACCUUCCAUCCAUCCAUUGACUAGGCCGUGCAGUGGUGGCUUUUACAGCUAGCUUGGCCUUUUCACCCGUCUUUCGUCGGUUGCCGUCGUCAGAGGUCAGACUUCGCUCUCGAGAAAGGUAUUGGCAAACCAAACCAAACAAAAAAAAAACUUGGCUUUUGAGUCACUCAACCGUACCCCAACAGAAAUCCAUGCGUGAUGUGAAUGCAUGAACGAACACGCGGAAAGGUGUAAAUGGACGGGAAGAAAAGAAAACUGCCAAUGUCCUUGUGUUGAUCGGUUGGAGAGGCAGCAGCACCAACCGUAUCUAUCGAGUGACCAACCCAAUGGCAAUGGUAUGGUUCUGGUUCGCUGACAUGUCACUGGCCCUCGAUCGAGCUAGCACGGCUGCAGGCCAAGGCCGUCGUCGAGUAUUCGAGUGGCGAGGGCGCUGCUGGUGCAUGCUGAAAAGGAGCCUCAUCAGGUACUCCUCGUUGCUCUGCAGACACGCAAGCAUAUAUAUGUGUGCCAGCAGAGCCUCAGGAGAGGAGACGCAGCUGCGUCGUUCUUCUGAUCUUCCUCGCACAGCUUCUGAUUUUAGGGGCAGAGCGUCUGCUUUCUGGUUGUGCCUGCCACUGUGGGGGAGAAGGACGAUACAGUGCCUGCCACUGUACUGACUCUGGCCCGUGAACUCAUCACUGUUGUGUGGUUGUGCCGUUCAUUCGUUCACUCAUUCAUUCAUAGGUCCUGAGUCGCUGUCUGUCGUGCGAAGGACCUGUCCUAAUCCUAUGGUUGCAACAAACUUGACCUCUGAACUAGAGAACCUUUGUCCUGGUUACAAUUCGGUUAGCAUCUUUUAGGAAGGAAGGAAUGCAUGUGUGUAUAGAUAAGCAUGCAUGAUCUUGGUCUCGCUCUCAACCACCUCCAUCCAUGUUGGUCUUCUCUUAAUUUUUUUCUAAACUGAAAUUUUGUCUAGGACCCAUCAGCCGUGGAAGUUUAUCCGAUUCUUUUGUAAGAAGUCCAUUAUUCAUCCAAACCGACCUGUUCAAGAUAUACUGUAGCUAAUUACUUAAGACUAGUCAGUUUUUAUUUCCUUUUUAUCUGAUCUUUACUUGCUGGCGCGCACAUCGAGUAUAUGUAAAAGAACUUUAUGUGAAUAGUAAUAUAAAAGGAAAAGAGAAUGGGUGUCCGGUAAGGACAAAAUUGGAUUUCUAGAACUCCAAACAAUAUGUUACUAGAUUACCCAAACAAAGCCUAAAUAGGAAACAUUAUACAUUUGUAUACAUGACAAGAAAAAUUAAAAUAAAGGAAGAAAUGUAUGGUGAAAAUUUGACAGCUGACCUAGAGCAACUAACAAGAGAUGUCCACUUGCUAGCAAAGGUCUUUUGGCUUUGCACGUACCACGCCACGCGUAUAUAUUAUAUACCAUAUCCAAAGAAUAUGUUUUUUUGUUGGUGAGCCUUAGGGCAUCAUUGUACCUUAAUGAUGUGAAUUAGGCUAACAUUAUUCUGUUAAAAGUUGCAUCUCAUCAUGAGAUGGCAUGGGGAUCAGAUCACCUUCUGCUUGUUUAUGGCACAUCUGCGGAUUCGGUGUAACGACCAAUCAUUGACCAGCUUUCUAUCUGCAUACUGCAAUCGGAGGCCCAGUCUUCUUUGAUUGCACUUUGCAGUAUCCACAGGGUUUUUACAGACGAUAAAGCCCAGCAGCACCACAACACAGCCCGAAUAAUUACGAGAUCAUCUCCCAAAGUCCGAAGACUUCAACUGGAAAAAAUGGGAAAAAGUGCAGCACAUGGAAAUUCAGAAGGAAGCUUUGAACCCUAGUCUCACAAGUCAAUGCCUGGACCUCACUGAUUACUGUUUCGAAAAUAGUUCAAGGACCACAAGCAAGCGGGAGAUAAGUCAGGUGAUCUGUACUUGAGUACUUUCCAUGGAAUCCAAUGCAUCUCCCAACAAUUCAUGUUGUCAUCAACAUCAACAAUUAUAACUCAACCACAAUGUGGUAACCCAAACGAAGAACAAGCAUAGCUGCCAUCCACAAAGCACCUCAAGAAUUUGGUGAAGAAAGUACCACGGUUAACGGUACCGUUUUUAACCGAAUUUCGCCCGCGACGAAAACAGGAAAUAAUCGAAUUUCGCAUUUCCCGUAUUUCGCUGUUUUUUGACCAGAUUUUGGUGACUUUUGACCAGGAAAUUGUGUUUCUUGGGAGGCGAGAUCAAUGUCUGCUACGAAGAAAACGACCCUCUGCGCUAUUAUGGACCGUCAGAGUCCCAGUUAUGGACCAUCUGGACGUUCAUAGAGAAGGAGCCACCCCUACGUCAAGUCGUGGACCGUCUGGGCCGCAGACCAUCCGCGCCUCCGCAGGGUGACGCGCACUAGCGCGGUAGCGCCCGUGGUGGUGGCGGCCCACCCGCCCACAGGGGCGGCAGCUGUGGCAUGGCCGCCCGCGGCCGUGCUUGCUGGCGCAGGGGGCGACAGAACCAGAUCCGCUGCCUUACGACAGCCUGCCGUGCGCUCGUCGAUCUUCAAACCAACGGUGAUCUGCUGCCCUCUCCCUCAGUAGUGUAUGGAGCGGCCCAACAGAGUAAUUCUGGCCCACUUCUUUUCUUCGUUUCUUAUUUCUUUCAUCUAGGAACACAGCGCAACGGAGGGAAAACCGUGGGAGGAAAAAGCAGCGGGAAAGGCUGCCUGUUUUGGCGCCAGAUAUAGAGAGACAGUGACAAAAGGAACCAACGGACAGGGCAAAAAGCACCAAAUACAGAGAGACAGCGACGAAGGGAACCAACUAACGGACAAGGCAAAAAGCUGAGAAGCAAAGAUGGAGGAAGAUGCGACCAACGAAUCAAACAUGGAGAAUGUGUUGCCCUGUUUGAUUCCUCGUAUUGGAAUGAAAUUCAGAAAUCCAGAUGAGGGCUGGAGAUUUUGGUUAGCGUAUAGUGGUCAAAAAGGUUUUGAUGUUAGAAAAAGGUACUCAAAUACAAGUAAGAUUGAUGGAAAUGUCACGUCAUGUAGAUUUGUUUGUGCUAAUCAAGGUCAUCGAGGGAAAGAUAAAAAGGGGUAUGAAGUAAAGUGUCAUCGAGCUGAAACUAGAACAGAUUGUGAAGUGCGUAUGGGACUUGUAAAAGAUAAAGAGUUUGGUGGAUACAAAGUUUAUGAUUUGAAUUUAGAACACAA
This is a long non-coding RNA of Zea mays, 3956 nucleotides long. RefSeq lists it as uncharacterized. The record is from RefSeq and is a predicted model, not a curated record. The transcript is spliced from 2 exons. NCBI's taxonomy places the organism in Eukaryota, Viridiplantae, Streptophyta, Magnoliopsida, Poales, Poaceae.